GGUUGAAGAACCAUGCUCAAAGGAGAAGGCGAGAUCUGAGAAGCCCUUGCGACAGGCUUACCUGAAAAAACAAAACAAAACAAAACAAAACAAAACAAAAUAAAAAAAUAGCUGCAAUGUAAAGAAGAGCAUAGCAGAACAUUCCCUAGCACCCAGGAGACAGAAGAAACCACGUUAGCCGAGCCAGUCACUAUUUCCAGCAGCCCGCACGGUUUUAAAGAAACGUGUGUGCAUUUAUACAGACUUGUCACACAUAGAUGUCAAUCCAAGGAGGCUGUCUAUGAUUUGACGAGGCUGUAAAACCAUUCUUUAGCAAAUGUUUGUUGAACCAAAGCACACCGCGCCCUAACCCCACACUGGCUCCCGUCCCAGGAGGCCUGUCCCCGCUAUUAUUCCACGCGUCUCUGUGAUGAAGCUGCUGAACAAGCACCCACGUUCCUUAAGGUCAUUUUGGGAGAGCAGUUGGUUGAGUGACUGAAGAUGUAUCAAGCCAUAGACUUUAAAAAAAUAAGCGUUCUCACCUCGCUGUGCAUGUGGAUUCACAACCCACUUCAUGUGGAUUCACACCCACUUCUUGUGGAUUCACACUCACUUCAUGUAGAUUCACACCCACGUCCAGAUUCGGGUCUCUCUAUUGUCUUUGCACAUGAUCAGUCCAUCUCAGAGCCCCUCACUGUCUUA
This 681-nucleotide long non-coding RNA is filed under the name Mus musculus (house mouse). RNAcentral describes it as "predicted gene, 50142". The record is from RNAcentral. Lineage: Eukaryota; Metazoa; Chordata; Mammalia; Rodentia; Muridae.